AUUGAACGCUGGCGGCAUGCCUUACACAUGCAAGUCGAACGGCAGCACGGGAGCAAUCCUGGUGGCGAGUGGCGAACGGGUGAGUAAUAUAUCGGAACGUGCCCAGUCGUGGGGGAUAACGUAGCGAAAGCUACGCUAAUACCGCAUACGAUCUAUGGAUGAAAGCGGGGGAUCGCAAGACCUCGCGCGAUUGGAGCGGCCGAUAUCAGAUUAGCUAGUUGGUGGGGUAAAGGCCCACCAAGGCGACGAUCUGUAGCUGGUCUGAGAGGACGACCAGCCACACUGGGACGGAGACACGGCCCAGACUCCUACGGGAGGCAGCAGUGGGGAAUUUUGGACAAUGGGCGCAAGCCUGAUCCAGCAAUGCCGCGUGCAGGACGAAGGCCUUCGGGUUGUAAACUGCUUUUGUACGGAACGAAACGGCCCCUUCUAAUACAGGGGGCUAAUGACGGUACCGUAAGAAUAAGCACCGGCUAACUACGUGCCAGCAGCCGCCGUAA
This 500-nucleotide ribosomal RNA is filed under the name uncultured bacterium. RNAcentral describes it as "partial 16S ribosomal RNA". It matches the Rfam family "Bacterial small subunit ribosomal RNA", at positions 29 to 523 of the family's 1533-position model. The record is from RNAcentral.